This 467-nucleotide ribosomal RNA is filed under the name uncultured bacterium. RNAcentral describes it as "partial 16S ribosomal RNA". It matches the Rfam family "Bacterial small subunit ribosomal RNA", at positions 28 to 505 of the family's 1533-position model. The record is from RNAcentral.
GACGAACGCUGGCGGCGUGCUUAACACAUGCAAGUCGAACGGAAAGGCCCUGCUUGCAGGGUGCUCGAGUGGCGAACGGGUGAGUAACACGUGGGUGAUCUGCCCCUUACUUUGGGAUAAGCCUGGGAAACUGGGUCUAAUACUGGAUAGGACCAUGCUGUAGGUGGUGUGGUGGAAAGAUUAGUUUCGGUAAGGGAUGAGCUCGCGGCCUAUCAGCUUGUUGGUGGGGUAAUGGCCUACCAAGGCGUCGACGGGUAGCCGGCCUGAGAGGGUGGACGGCCACAUUGGGACUGAGAUACGGCCCAGACUCCUACGGGAGGCAGAAGUGGGGAAGAUUGCACAAUGGGCGCAAGCCUGAUGCAGCGACGCCGCGUGGGGGAUGACGGCCUUCGGGUUGGAAACUCCUUUCAGCCAUGACGAAGCCCUUGUGGUGACGGUAGUGGUAGAAGAAGCACCGGCUAACUACG